This 453-nucleotide ribosomal RNA is filed under the name Veillonella parvula. Its description in RNAcentral is "bacterial SSU rRNA". It matches the Rfam family "Bacterial small subunit ribosomal RNA", at positions 28 to 458 of the family's 1533-position model. The record is from RNAcentral. Lineage: Bacteria; Bacillati; Bacillota; Negativicutes; Veillonellales; Veillonellaceae.
GACGAACGCUGGCGGCGUGCUUAACACAUGCAAGUCGAACGAAGAGCGACGGAAGCUUGCUUCUAUCAAUCUUAGUGGCGAACGGGUGAGUAACGCGUAAUCAACCUGCCCUUCAGAGGGGGACAACAGUUGGAAACGACUGCUAAUACCGCAUACGAUCUAAUCUCGGCAUCGAGGAUAGAUGAAAGGUGGCCUCUACAUGUAAGCUAUCACUGAAGGAGGGGAUUGCGUCUGAUUAGCUAGUUGGAGGGGUAACGGCCCACCAAGGCGAUGAUCAGUAGCCGGUCUGAGAGGAUGAACGGCCACAUUGGGACUGAGACACGGCCCAGACUCCUACGGGAGGCAGCAGUGGGGAAUCUUCCGCAAUGGACGAAAGUCUGACGGAGCAACGCCGCGUGAGUGAUGACGGCCUUCGGGGUGUAAAGCUCUGUUAAUCGGGACGAAAAGGCCUUU